UACGGAGGAUGCGAGCGUUAUCCGGAUUUAUUGGGUUUAAAGGGUGCGUAGGCGGAUUUUUAAGUCAGCGGUAAAAUGUCCGGGCUCAACCCGGGCCGGCCGUUGAAACUGGGGAUCUUGAGUGGGCGAGAAGUAUGCGGAAUGCGUGGUGUAGCGGUGAAAUGCAUAGAUAUCACGCAGGACUCCGAUUGUGAAGGCAGCGUACCGGCGCCCAACUGACGCUGAAGCACGAAGGCGUGGGUAUCGAACAGG
This 252-nucleotide ribosomal RNA is filed under the name uncultured bacterium. Its description in RNAcentral is "partial 16S ribosomal RNA". It matches the Rfam family "Bacterial small subunit ribosomal RNA", at positions 524 to 776 of the family's 1533-position model. The record is from RNAcentral.